This 442-nucleotide ribosomal RNA is filed under the name uncultured bacterium. RNAcentral's name for it is "partial 16S ribosomal RNA". It matches the Rfam family "Bacterial small subunit ribosomal RNA", at positions 338 to 795 of the family's 1533-position model. The record is from RNAcentral.
CCUACGGGAGGCAGCAGUAGGGAAUCUUUCACAAUGGGCGAAAGCCUGAUGGAGCAACGCCGCGUGUAGGAUGAAGGCCUUCGGGUUGUAAACUGCUUUUAUAAGCGAGAAAUAUGAUGGUAACUUAUGAAUAAGGAUCGGCUAACUACGUGCCAGCAGCCGCGGUCAUACGUAGGAUCCGAGCAUUAUCCGGAGUGGCUGGGUGUAAAGAGUUGCGUAGGUGGCAUAAUAAGUAGCUAGUGAAAUCUGGUGGCUCAACCAUUCAGACUAUUAGCUAAACUGUUAAGCUCGAGACCGUUAGGGGUAACUGGAAUUUCUAGUGUAGGAGUGAAAUCCGUAGAUAUUAGAAGGAACACCAAUAGCGUAGGCAGGUUGCUGGGACGGUUCUGACACUAAGGCACGAAAGCGUAGGGAGCAAACGGGAUUAGAUACCCUUGUAGUC